Non-coding RNA from Xyrichtys novacula (pearly razorfish), 289 nucleotides. The record is from the annotation of a GenBank genome assembly. NCBI's taxonomy places the organism in Eukaryota, Metazoa, Chordata, Actinopteri, Labriformes, Labridae.
GAGGAGGACAGAGAGAGGAAGGGAGAAACAAGGGGUAAGGAAGGAAGAGAAAAGCAGAGGAAAUGUUUCUAUGUAAUGGAGUUUGCCAUCUUGUUGUAGCCGCUGGCUGUUGCCGUGGCAGUGGCAGACAGAUGGAUCAUGAAUACUGUCUAGACACACUGCAGCCCGACGCCCCACUCCUCACUCCCUGCACUUCCUCUCCUUUCCUUUCUCCUCUCCUCUCUCUUCCUGUCUUUUUUCCUCACCCCUCCUCUCCUCUCCUCUCUCCUCUCCUGUGUUUUUCCUCCUC